UCCAUCUUAAAAUACACUGUCCAGAGAUAUUGUUCAAAAUCAAAAUGAAACCAGCAUCUUUAUCUUACUUAAGCCAUCUAAGUCCCUGACAAAAUCACUGGUCUAGAUGAACCUGUUUUAAACAUGAAAACUGGUUCAAUAUCAUUUAACCUGACAUGUGCCUAACAAGUUACAAAGGAGGGGGGAUGAGUCCCGAAAGACAAUAGUCACUUUGAGCCAACUUGAUUCUCUGAAUUGCUUGAAGGAGAUUCCUGCUCUGUUCUCUUUCUCUUUCGACAAAUAGUUGGAAGCCCCAAUUGCAAAGUUGUGUUGGAAUCUUCAUCAUCUACUCCAUCUUCACAUGCAGUGUCGGAAUCCAGACUCUCCUUACUCUCUUUUAAAAUUGAAUACUUCUUUUCCAAUGGGCGAUCAUAUUCAAGAAAAGGUGGCGGUAAACUAGCACUUAAAGGAAAUAACCCUCGGAGCUCUUCUACCUGUAUCUCAUGAGAUGGCAAAAGCAAUUGUGUCAGAAAGGAACCGCCCUGUCUACGUAAGGUCUCACACUCCAGCGCAGACCUCUCCUCCUGUUUCCUAG
Molecule: unclassified non-coding RNA, 574 nt
Filed under: Hevea brasiliensis (rubber tree)
Lineage: Eukaryota; Viridiplantae; Streptophyta; Magnoliopsida; Malpighiales; Euphorbiaceae
Source: RNAcentral